This 253-nucleotide ribosomal RNA is filed under the name uncultured bacterium. RNAcentral describes it as "partial 16S ribosomal RNA". It matches the Rfam family "Bacterial small subunit ribosomal RNA", at positions 335 to 581 of the family's 1533-position model. The record is from RNAcentral.
GCCCUACGGGGCGCAGCAGUAGGGAAUCUUCCACAAUGGACGAAAGUCUGAUGGAGCAACGCCGCGUGAGUGAAGAAGGGUUUCGGCUCGUAAAGCUCUGUUGGUAGUGAAGAAAGAUAGAGGGAGUAACUGGCCUUUAUUUGACGGUAAUUACUUAGAAAGUCACGGCUAACUACGUGCCAGCAGCCGCGGUAAUACGUAGGUGGGAAGCGGUGUUCGGAUUUAUUGGGCGUAAAGCGAGUGGAGGCGGUGU